Molecule: unclassified non-coding RNA, 3405 nt
Filed under: Hevea brasiliensis (rubber tree)
Lineage: Eukaryota; Viridiplantae; Streptophyta; Magnoliopsida; Malpighiales; Euphorbiaceae
Source: RNAcentral
UUGCUGCAGCAAUUAUGUCUACCCAAUCCACAGCAACAAACCAAUAUUGAGACUGGAGUUGGCUCUGAUAUCAUGUUUGAUAAAAUGGACCAACUCUAACUCCACCCCAACAAAUUCGACGUCUAAACUUGAGCUUUUGGGAAUUCUGGAUUUGCUGCUCUUCAACGUCUCUAUUAGAAGUGGAAUGGGAUGUUCAGCCAUUGGAAGCGGUGCCAAACACUUUGCUGCCAAAAUUGGUAAUGGCAGCUUUCCAAUUCACAUCCUCCUCGCUGCUGCUGCCGCUGCUGGUCGGCCCUGCCAUUUUCCUCUACGACGCUGAAAUCAAGUUCCCUCCUUCCAAAUUGCUCAGGCAUGCGACCAAAAAAAGUGGGCUUUUCGGGCUAAACUGGCUCAAUUAGUCCAAUGGGUAGCCUAUAUGGGCCGCCUUUGACCUAUCCGGAGCUUCCAUGCUUCUUUCGCCGAUUCAACGCCGCAGUUGGCUAGCCUCACCGUCGCAAACCUCUCAAAUUUGGAAGCAAUAAAAUUUCAAAACCACCAAUUUUCUCGUCCUUUCUCCCCGUGGCAAAGAAGGAGAAGCAGAGAGGAGUCCUAACUUUAGUUUUCCAGAUACUGCUUUGGAGACCUCCUUAAAUAUAGAUAGCCAUAAAAUGCUAAUUUCUCAAAAUCAUUAUCCAUUUCUAAGCUCCCGAGGCAACAGAAAGAUUGGGAAGAAAUAACACAGCAAAGAUCGAAUGUUCAUAACGAAAACUGAAUGGGUAGCGACAAAUUCAAAGAGGUCAACCGUUUCGAGCGCAUUCCCUUCUAUUGUAGCGUGACUAGAAUACCAUUGCAUCUGUUAGAGUUUGGACCUGGAAAACCACAUCAUGCAAUUAAAGAAUUAAAUAUCAAGACCAAAAGACCAAAAACUGGAAGGAGCUUCUCACUGAUGGGCCAUUCACUAGGAAGACUUGAUAACAAUUCAGAAUCCUAAAGCACUUGACAGUAAGGUCACUUUGGAUUUUGACCUUUUUAAGAAUGGUCUGAAAGUUGAUGAUGAAGGUAAGCUAUAUUCAUCAUCACAGAUAGAUUUUUCUUUGUUAAGAAAAAAUAGAAAAUUAUUAGCACACUAGUAACAUAAAUUAUUAGCGUCAUUGGUUACUCAAGUGACAAGUUAGUGAAAUGGAGAAAUUUUCAUUUUUACUAAGUAAUUAUUUUAUAUUAAUGUUUAAUACAAUGUAAUUUAAGUUAAUAGAAAGAAUGAUUUUGAUAUAUUUUAUCAUAGUAAUUUACUAGAUCUGAUUAAACAUACAGAUAGGAAGAACAAUUGCAAACUUUUGGUGUAGUUGAAGUGGUGUUAAUCUUUAGGAUUCAUCAGUUGGCCAGGGAUCGAAUCUUUAUGCUAAUACCCAUUCAAUUUUUCGCCAGUUAUCAAGCAGGUUCAUACUGAUUCACUUUGGGUUUACAAGUAAACCAAACUGGACCGGACCAGGUUCCAAUUCCAUAUUAAACCGGUCUUCUCCGGAUUUAACAACCAUGGUAUUCUCUAUGUCAUUAUGACUUUGUAAACGUUGGGGGAGUUGGGUAUCACAUUUGCUGGGUCACAUAGAUUAUCACAUAGCGUGUGAGAAGUAGUGGGUGAAAAUGAUUGUGGUAUAUCAUAAGAAACAGCAAAAUUUGUUUCUUGCAUAUGUUGUGGUCAAAAUGCUUCUAGAAUUUGUUUAUUGGAUAUUUCCCUCCCAAUAACUAAAAGUGGACUUGAUAGCUCACAAGAGUCAUUGAGAAAUUGAAGAUUAAUCUAUUCCUUAUGUAGGAGAUAAAGAUUAUUUCUGUAAUAGUAUUUGUUAAUCCCUACACGGAGCUUGACGAAGAAGAUGAGGAAGAAAGUCCAAAGAAGAGAAGGCCACUGAGGAUGCAGAAAAUGCUAGUUUUUGAAGUGUAGAAUGCUAGCUUUUGAUAUUCUGUUUUGAUUUUGGUUUUUCUUGGAGAUUGCAAUGAAUUUUGGUCCUUAACAUUUUAGGACAAGGUUGGGUCAUGGUACAGCAAUCCAGGCACAGGAACUGCAGGAUCUGGAGCUGUGGGUGGUGAUGCCAUGGGAAAGUACUAGAAUGCAAAAGAAUAUUCAACCUGAAUCAAUUGCUAUGGAUGGUGGUUUAUCAACAAUUGCAGUGGCAAAGAAUAGUAAAGUGGGAUUUCCAACAGGAGAGUUAAAACACUUCUCUGGUUGGUGAGAAUUCCCAAAUCUUGUGCAAUUCUUGAGACUCUGAAGAAGAUGGAGCUGGUGUAGGUCAGCAGUAUUAACAUAUUCUUUUGAGGUGUGGUGAAAUUCAAACAGAUACUGUUGAGAAGGCAUUUCAUUCCAUUGCAUUGAUUUGUUUUGGCUGGUUAUAUGUACAAUAAAGAUGUAUUAGUCAGAAAUUAUUUAGUCCUGAUAAAACGCGGUCUUUGUCCAGUCCAAAGAGUGCCUUCUCACUCUUUUUGUACAGUAACAUGUGUAAAGGUGAAAUCACGGUUCCAAUCUGCCUUUAUACUGCAGCCUUUUACAUGUUGGUAUCAUUAAUUUGAUGUUGAAUUGUCAUAAUCUCAUGAUGGACAUCUAGGACCAUCUUCAUGGUUUUUCGAGGAGGCCCCAGUCCCAGCUGUUUCUUACCGAUAGUAACUUUUUACUACUAAUUUUCAGGUCUAUUUUUGGUGCGUAAAUAAAAUGUAUUUGACACUCUUCGCCAUGGAUUUGAGGGUUCUUUUCUCCUUUCAUUUUUCGAUUUGAAUGUGGCUACAUCCCUAUAUGUGGUUAUCGUCUGCUUGCAAAGUGCCUUUAAAAGCUGCAACUCUGAAGAUGGAGAAAUGGACUGCUAAUAUGGAAUCCUCACUCGGUAUAUUAAGUUUACUGCCGUCCUUGAGCCAUUGAAGGGCUAUGAUGCAGCAUUUUUCCUUGAUUUUUAUUUCUUAUUUUUUUUACAAAGGAAAGUGAGUAGCAUUGGAACUUGAGACCUUGUUCAAGAUGAGAUCAACAGAGGAUGCUUGUGGCGUUGGACGUUACUCUUUCACCAGAAAGGAGGGGAAAUGGAACUUACUGACUUGAACACACUUGGGAAGGGAAAAACAGGAUUAUCAAUCCUGGACAUGUUUACGCUACUAAUAAUAUACUCAACCCCUACACCAUAGCACAGAAUUUUGUUUAUUUAUUUAUUUGUUUUCAUUGCAUCAUGAAUUGUCAUCUCCACCUGAAACAAAACUAUGAUAAUACGGUAGGUGCACUGUCUACAUAUUUUGUUAGUCAAUGAUUGAAUUUUCCUGUCAUCAGGGGGAAGAAAUUGAGAUGUUCUUCUGUCAAGGCAGAGGACAAAGAAAUUCAUACCCCGUCAACCAAGAUUGCCUUUGGCAUCCAGGCGAGAGAGAGAGGACUCGAAUUCAUAUUUUGUAGCUGCC